Molecule: ribosomal RNA, 253 nt
Filed under: uncultured bacterium
Lineage: Bacteria
Description: partial 16S ribosomal RNA
Rfam family: Bacterial small subunit ribosomal RNA
Source: RNAcentral
UACGGAGGGGGCAAGCGUUGUUCGGAAUUACUGGGCGUAAAGGGCGCGCAGGCGGCUGCUCAAGUCAGACGUGAAAUCCCUCAGCUUAACUGGGGAACUGCGUCUGAGACUGGCAAGCUUGAGUGCAGGAGAGGAACGCGGAAUUCCAGGUGUAGCGGUGGAAUGCGUAGAGAUCCGGAAGAACACCGGUGGCGAAGGCGGCCUGCUGGGCAGUUGCUGACACUGAGGCGCGACAGCGUGGGGAGCAAACAGG